GUCGUAACAAGGUUUCCGUAGGUGAACCUGCGGAAGGAUCAUUACCUAGAGUUUGCAGACUUCGGUCUGCUACCUCUUACCCAUGUCUUUUGAGUACCUUCGUUUCCUCGGCGGGUCCGCCCGCCGAUUGGACAACAUUCAAACCCUUUGCAGUUGCAAUCAGCGUCUGAAAAAACAUAAUAGUUACAACUUUCAACAACGGAUCUCUUGGUUCUGGCAUCGAUGAAGAACGCAGCGAAAUGCGAUAAGUAGUGUGAAUUGCAGAAUUCAGUGAAUCAUCGAAUCUUUGAACGCACAUUGCGCCCCUUGGUAUUCCAUGGGGCAUGCCUGUUCGAGCGUCAUUUGUACCUUCAAGCUCUGCUUGGUGUUGGGUGUUUUGUCUCGCCUCCGCGUGUAGACUCGCCUUAAAACAAUUGGCAGCCGGCGUAUUGAUUUCGGAGCGCAGUACAUCUCGCGCUUUGCACUCAUAACGACGACGUCCAAAAGUACAUUUUUACACUCUUGACCUCGGAUCAGGUAGGGAUACCCGCUGAACUUAAGCAUAUCAAU
This 549-nucleotide ribosomal RNA is filed under the name fungal sp. J4. Its description in RNAcentral is "eukaryotic LSU rRNA". The stretch from base 188 to 341 matches the Rfam family "5.8S ribosomal RNA". Lineage: Eukaryota; Fungi. The record is from RNAcentral.